This 373-nucleotide ribosomal RNA is filed under the name Holtiella tumoricola. RNAcentral describes it as "Bacterial small subunit ribosomal RNA". It matches the Rfam family "Bacterial small subunit ribosomal RNA", at positions 1150 to 1520 of the family's 1533-position model. Lineage: Bacteria; Bacillati; Bacillota; Clostridia; Lachnospirales; Cellulosilyticaceae. The record is from Rfam by way of RNAcentral.
UGCCAGGGAUAACCUGGAGGAAGGUGGGGAUGACGUCAAAUCAUCAUGCCCCUUAUGUUUAGGGCUACACACGUGCUACAAUGGGUGCUACAAAGGGAAGCAAAACCGCGAGGUCAAGCAAAUCCCAAAAAGGCACUCCCAGUUCGGAUUGUAGUCUGCAACUCGACUACAUGAAGUUGGAAUCGCUAGUAAUCGCGAAUCAGAAUGUCGCGGUGAAUACGUUCCCGGGUCUUGUACACACCGCCCGUCACACCACGGGAGUUGGGGGGGCCCAACGCCAGUGACCUAACCCUUCGGGGAGGGAGCUGUCUAAGGCAAAACCAAUGACUGGGGUGAAGUCGUAACAAGGUAGCCGUAUCGGAAGGUGCGGCUG